AGGGCUUAGCUGCUUGUGAGCAGGGUUCCCACCAGGCGUGUUCACAGUGGCUAAGUUCCGU
This 61-nucleotide microRNA precursor is filed under the name Cavia porcellus (domestic guinea pig). RNAcentral's name for it is "microRNA cpo-mir-27a precursor". Its record names the gene cpo-mir-27a. It matches the Rfam family "mir-27 microRNA precursor family", at positions 11 to 72 of the family's 80-position model. The record is from miRBase by way of RNAcentral. Lineage: Eukaryota; Metazoa; Chordata; Mammalia; Rodentia; Caviidae.